UACGUAGGUGGCGAGCGUUAUCCGGAAUUAUUGGGCGUAAAGCGCGCGCAGGCGGUUUCUUAAGUCUGAUGUGAAAGCCCACGGCUCAACCGUGGAGGGUCAUUGGAAACUGGGAGACUUGAGUGCAGAAGAGAAGAGUGGAAUUCCACGUGUAGCGGUGAAAUGCGUAGAGAUGUGGAGGAACACCAGUGGCGAAGGCGACUCUUUGGUCUGUAACUGACGCUGAGGCGCGAAAGCUAGGGGAGCAAACGGG
RNAcentral lists this ribosomal RNA (253 nucleotides) under uncultured bacterium. Its description in RNAcentral is "partial 16S ribosomal RNA". It matches the Rfam family "Bacterial small subunit ribosomal RNA", at positions 524 to 776 of the family's 1533-position model. The record is from RNAcentral.